Molecule: long non-coding RNA, 863 nt
Filed under: Homo sapiens (human)
Lineage: Eukaryota; Metazoa; Chordata; Mammalia; Primates; Hominidae
Description: non-protein coding lnc-HPCA-6:1
Source: RNAcentral
AAAGUGCAGAUGACUGGUGCAGAGAGAGGACUCAGAGGCCCUUGGGGCCCUGGAAUGGGAGGUCAUAGUGGUUUCCACGGAGGCUUUGGCAGUGGCAUUGGGGCCUGGAUAGUGGUUGGGGUCAGGGCCUGGGCCAUGGAGCUUGCAGAGGCAAGGAUGAAGAUGAGGAAUGGAUGCCUGUCACCAAGUUGGGCUACCUGGUCAAGGACAUGAAGAUCAAGUCCCUGGAGGAAAUCUAGCCCUUCUCCUUGACCAUCGAGGAGUCUGAGAUCAUUGACUUUUUCCUGGGGGCAUCUCUCAAGGAUGAGGUUUUGAAGACCACGCCCGUGCAAAAGCAGACCUGCGCUGACCAGCAUACCAGGUUCAAGGUGUGUGUUGCCAUUGGGGACUACAGUGGCCACGUUGGUCUGGGUGUUAAGUGCUCCGAGGAGGUAGCCACGGCCAUCUGAGGGGACAUCACCUGGUCAGGCUCUCCAUUGUCCCUGUGCAGAGAAGCCACUGGGGGAAUAAGAUCAGUUAGCCCCCACACCAUCUCUUGCAAGGUGACAGGCUGCUGUGGCUCUGUGCUGGUGUGCCUUAUCCCUGCCCCACUGAGGCAAUGGCAUCACCUUGGCCCCUGUGCCCAAGAUGCUGCUGAUGGCUAGUACAGACCAGUGCUACACCUCAGCCAGGUCUGCACUGCCACCUGGGCAACUUCGCCAAGGCCACCUUUGGUGCCAUCUCCAAGAAUUAUAGCUAUCUGACCCUCAACCUCUGGAGAGAGACCAUAUUCAUCAAGUUUCCCUAUCAGGAGUUCACUGACCAUCUCAUCAAGACCCAGACCAGAGUCUCUGUGCGGAGGACCCAGGCUCCAGCUAUGUAUA